UACGUAGGGUGCGAGCGUUAAUCGGAAUUACUGGGCGUAAAGCGUGCGCAGGCGGUUUUGUAAGCCAGAUGUGAAAGCCCCGGGCUUAACCUGGGAAUUGCAUUUGAGACUGCAUAGCUAGGGUGCGGAAGAGGGAAGCGGAAUUUCCGGUGUAGCGGUGAAAUGCGUAGAUAUCGGAAGGAACACCAGUGGCGAAAGCGGCUUCCUGGUCCAGCACCGACGUUCAGGCACGAAAGCGUGGGGAGCAAACAGG
RNAcentral lists this ribosomal RNA (253 nucleotides) under uncultured bacterium. RNAcentral's name for it is "partial 16S ribosomal RNA". It matches the Rfam family "Bacterial small subunit ribosomal RNA", at positions 524 to 776 of the family's 1533-position model. The record is from RNAcentral.